GAAACUGUGCCCGAACGUUUAGGGACCACUUUGAUAGAGUGAUUUAUAGAGGUUAAAAUCCACUCAGUUUCU
This 72-nucleotide transfer RNA is filed under the name Osteochilus salsburyi. RNAcentral's name for it is "tRNA-Ile". It matches the Rfam family "tRNA". Rfam says of the family: Transfer RNA (tRNA) molecules are approximately 80 nucleotides in length. Their secondary structure includes four short double-helical elements and three loops (D, anti-codon, and T loops). Further hydrogen bonds mediate the characteristic L-shaped molecular structure. tRNAs have two regions of fundamental functional importance: the anti-codon, which is responsible for specific mRNA codon recognition, and the 3' end, to which the tRNAs corresponding amino acid is attached (by aminoacyl-tRNA synthetases). tRNAs cope with the degeneracy of the genetic code in two manners: having more than one tRNA (with a specific anti-codon) for a particular amino acid; and 'wobble' base-pairing, i.e. permitting non-standard base-pairing at the 3rd anti-codon position. Lineage: Eukaryota; Metazoa; Chordata; Actinopteri; Cypriniformes; Cyprinidae. The record is from RNAcentral.